UCUAGUUUCGUCGCUUAAAUAUGGACGUUCUAGUGUCGGGUGGGCGUUCUAGUGACGCAUUCGAAAUACAUCUAGCGGCAAAGAAUCAUUCCCCAAGUUCUUAUGUCGCUAAAUCCGUUCUACUGUCGCAGAGAAAUUUAGAGGUUUUCCGUCCUAUUGUCGUUACUUAAAUGUGGACGUUCUAGUGUCGCAGCGGAAUUUAGAGGUUUUUCCGUUCUAAUGUCGUGGCUAAAAUGUGGACGUUCUAGUGUCGGAAGGACGUUCUAGUGUCGCGUUCUAGUGACGCAUUCGAUUAGUCCUUGUGGUUAUUAGUCCCAAUGUCGCUAUCCCGACUAAAAUACUAGUUUCAUCGCCAUCUAUGAUUCACAUUUAAAAACUACUGAUAUGGAACGAUAAGUCUUCGUUACUCAAGCCCGCCGCCAUUUUUUUCGAACACUGAAAGCAUGCUGAAAGCGUAUCAAUAUAUAAUCCGUACGGCGUAUUUUCCUUCCUGACAUUUUUCUUCAUAAAAAUGCUGAUCAUGUGGCCUGAGCAUCUGUACAUUUUGCCAAGAUGUCGUCUCUUUUUCCUGUACCGGCUGUACGUUUUGUAAGAAACACUUCAGAACAAAUCAGUCUGAUAAAGUCUGAGCUUCAUCGUUGCUGCCCAAUCUACACAUGGAUUUGAUGCAGCCAGCUGCCAGCUGGUAAAGGGUGUUCCUCUUGCUACCUGGACUGAUGUGUGCUUCUUCACGAAGAAACAUAUACAACUGAAGUUUAUCGUGUAUGUUCGCGUAGUUCCUGUCCGCUGUGGUACGUUGUUGCAGCCUAUGCUGGUUAUAGAUCUUUCUACAUCAAAUUCAAUUGGCCGUUUGGUGCUGGUGUCGUGUUACCGAAGUUGCAUUAUUAUUUUAUGAAAUUGGCAUUGUGUCAAUGUAGUAUACCGUUAAUAUGUUAAGAAGGAACAAAAAAGAAAUAUGGGGAUGUUUAUUUCAAACAAAUAAUAAACAUGUUUUCGGGAUUGGGAAAGGAAAGAGGAGGAUGUGGAAGGGGGAUAUUUCAAGUUUGGUUAAAAAACAGUUAAUUAAUAUAACCCUGCAAACAUAUCCCUACCAAUUAAUCUCCAAACCCCACAAACUUAUACCUUCUAAUUCUUCUGACCCCACAAACAUUACACCUACCAACCCUCAAAUGUAUACCCUAAACCACAUAAACCAAUGUCUAACCCUAUGUCUGUAAUAAAUAAACAAAUUUUAUACAUCAAACUAGUUUUUA
RNAcentral lists this long non-coding RNA (1253 nucleotides) under Daphnia pulicaria. Its description in RNAcentral is "uncharacterized LOC124314307, transcript variant X3". The record is from RNAcentral. Lineage: Eukaryota; Metazoa; Arthropoda; Branchiopoda; Diplostraca; Daphniidae.